AGAAUCAUGAUGAUGCUGCAU
Molecule: microRNA, 21 nt
Filed under: Nicotiana tabacum (common tobacco)
Lineage: Eukaryota; Viridiplantae; Streptophyta; Magnoliopsida; Solanales; Solanaceae
Description: nta-miR172b
Gene: nta-miR172b
Source: miRBase by way of RNAcentral